RNAcentral lists this ribosomal RNA (254 nucleotides) under uncultured bacterium. Its description in RNAcentral is "partial 16S ribosomal RNA". It matches the Rfam family "Bacterial small subunit ribosomal RNA", at positions 524 to 776 of the family's 1533-position model. The record is from RNAcentral.
UACGGGGGGAGCAAGCGUUGUUCGGAUUUACUGGGCGUAAAGGGCGCGUAGGCGGUCAGCACAAGUCAGUUGUGAAAUCUCCGGGCUUAACUCGGAAAGGUCAACUGAUACUGUGCGACUAGAGUGCAGAAGGGGCAACUGGAAUUCUCGGUGUAGCGGUGAAGUGCGUAGAUAUCAGGAGGAACACCGAUGGCGAAGGCAGGUCUCUGGGCCACUACUGACGCUGAGAAGCGAAAGCAUGGGGAGCGAACAGG